RNAcentral lists this ribosomal RNA (280 nucleotides) under Trichoderma longibrachiatum. RNAcentral describes it as "partial large subunit ribosomal RNA". It matches the Rfam family "Eukaryotic large subunit ribosomal RNA", at positions 375 to 675 of the family's 3401-position model. The record is from RNAcentral. Lineage: Eukaryota; Fungi; Ascomycota; Sordariomycetes; Hypocreales; Hypocreaceae.
CUUGAAAAGAGGGUUAAAUAGUACGUGAAAUUGUUGAAAGGGAAGCGCUUGUGACCAGACUUGGGCGCGGCGGAUCAUCCGGGGUUCUCCCCGGUGCACUUCGCCGCGUCCAGGCCAGCAUCAGUUCGUCGCGGGGGAAAAAGGCUUCGGGAACGUGGCUCCCUCGGGAGUGUUAUAGCCCGUUGCGUAAUACCCUGCGGUGGACUGAGGACCGCGCAUCUGCAAGGAUGCUGGCGUAAUGGUCACCAGCGACCCGUCUUGAAACACGGACCAAGGAACG